CCUACGGGUGGCUGCAGUGGGGAAUAUUGGACAAUGGGCGGGAGCCUGAUCCAGCCAAGCCGCGUGAGUGAAGAAGGUACAGCGUAUCGAAAACAUCUUUUGUCGGGGGACAAAGGCGGGGACUAGUCCCCGGAUGAGGGUACGUGAAGAAAAAGCAUCGGCUAAGUCCGUGCCAGCAGCGGCGGUAAGACGGGGGAUGCGAGAGUUAUCCGGAUUUGUGGGGUUUAAAGGGCGCGCAGGCGGCCUGUUAAGUCAGCGGUAAAAGCCCGGGGCUCAACCCCGGCGAGCCGUUGAAACUGGCAGGCGGGAGUUGGAGAGAAGUACGCGGAAUGCGCGGUGUAGCGGUGAAAUGCUUAGAUAUCGCGCAGAACCCCGAUUGCGAAGGCAGCGUCCUGGCUCCACACUGACGCUGAGGCACGAAAGCGUGGGUAUCGAACAGGAUUAGAUACCCGUGUAGUC
This 459-nucleotide ribosomal RNA is filed under the name uncultured bacterium. RNAcentral's name for it is "partial 16S ribosomal RNA". It matches the Rfam family "Bacterial small subunit ribosomal RNA", at positions 338 to 795 of the family's 1533-position model. The record is from RNAcentral.